GCCCAAGAGAUCGGGAUAACACCUGGAAACAGAUGCUAAUACCGUAUAACAACAGAUGAUGCCUAUCAACUGUUUAAAAGAUGGUUCUGCUAUCACUCUUGGAUGGACCUGCGGUGCAUUAGCUAGUUGGUAGGGUAACGGCCUACCAAGGCGAUGAUGCAUAGCCGAGUUGAGAGACUGAUCGGCCACAUUGGGACUGAGACACGGCCCAAACUCCUACGGGAGGCAGCAGCA
Molecule: ribosomal RNA, 234 nt
Filed under: uncultured Lactobacillus sp.
Lineage: Bacteria; Bacillati; Bacillota; Bacilli; Lactobacillales; Lactobacillaceae
Description: partial 16S ribosomal RNA
Rfam family: Bacterial small subunit ribosomal RNA
Source: RNAcentral